UAAUCAAAAACCUUGAGGACAACAUUCGAGGGUUUUUAAUUUCUUCUUCGAUUGAUGAUUUUGGGCGUUUCGGCAUCUGUUUAUAUUUUCUCACUCAUUUCCAACAAAGCCAUUAUUGAUUUCAGAAUUCAGACCAUAAUCCCUGGCUCUCGCCAUCCGUAAGUUCGCUUUUCUUUAUAUACGCAAGGUGGUUGUCAUUCUCUCUGAUUCUUGGAGAAGGGUUGGUUCAAGUUACGGGCUUUCAGAUUGCUUUGCCAAAUUCGUGGCAGAUCUAUUAUUUCCUUUCUAUGGGUUUUGGAAACUCCUACCCAGCUUAGCCUGUGUAAUUUUUUGAUCAGAAAAUCAUUUUAAUUGCCUGGUUCUGGGGCGAAAGCACUUUUUUUUUGUUCUUGUAGAAAUCACAAUUCAUCGAAUUUUUCUUGCUAAGGUCCUCUGGUGGACUUUUAGUUGUUUGUCACGCAAUAUUUAAUCCGAUUCUCGGGCUCAUCUUUUGGAGAUUUUGAAUAGAACAUCAGUAUCUCGUAUACUCAACAAGUAAUCGUGUUCUAGGGUUUCUCCUGGGGAUUCCAAGGCACUUUCAUCGACUUGUAGUAUUUGGCAAUAGGUUGAGGGGAAGAAAUGAGUACUCCUAAAAGAAGAAACUUCCAGAUAGAGGCCUUUAAACAUCGGGUGGUGGUGGAUCCCAAGUACGCAGAGAAGACAUGGAAAAUACUAGAGCAUGCAAUCCACGAGAUAUAUAAUCACAAUGCCAGCGGGCUCAGUUUUGAAGAGCUUUACAGGAAUGCUUACAAUAUGGUGCUGCACAAAUUUGGAGAGAAGCUGUACUCAGGACUUGUGACAACUAUGACAACGCAUCUAAAAGAAAUAUCAAAAUCAAUAGAGGCAGCCCAAGGAAGUUUAUUUUUGGAAGAGCUUAAUAGAAAAUGGGCAGAUCAUAACAAGGCAUUGCAGAUGAUCCGAGAUAUAUUGAUGUACAUGGACAGGACUUUUAUCCCCAGUACACACAAGACCCCCGUUCAUGAGCUUGGUUUGAACCUUUGGAGGGACAAUAUCAUCCACUCAAGCAAAAUUCAGAAUAGACUUCGUGAUACACUUCUUGAACUUGUCCACAGAGAACGGACUGGUGAAGUUAUAAAUCGAGGGUUGAUGAGAAAUAUAAUAAAGAUGCUAAUGGAAUUAGGUUCUUCUGUCUAUCAAGAAGAUUUUGAGAAGCCAUUUCUUGAGGUCUCCUCCAAUUUCUACAGUCUUGAGUCUCAGCAGUUUAUAGAGUGCUGUGAUUGUGGCGAUUAUCUUAAGAAAGCUGAGAGACGUCUAAAUGAAGAAAUGGAGAGAGUAUCACACUAUUUGGAUGCCAAGAGUGAAGCUAAGAUAACUAAUGUGGUGGAAAAAGAGAUGAUUGCAAACCACAUGCAGAGAUUAGUGCACAUGGAGAACUCGGGCCUGGUGAGCAUGCUUGUGGAUGACAAGUAUGAUGAUUUGAAGAGAAUGUACAGCUUGUUUCGCCGCGUUCCUGAUGGGCUCUUGACUAUAAGAGAUGUCAUGACUGCGCAUAUUCGGGAAACCGGCAAACAGUUAGUUACUGACCCAGAGAGAUUAAAGGAUCCUGUGGACUUUGUCCAGAGGCUCCUAGAUGAAAAAGAUAAACACGAUAAGAUAAUCAGCUUGGCCUUCAGCAAUGACAAGACAUUCCAGAAUGCUUUGAAUUCCUCCUUUGAGUACUUCAUUAACUUGAAUCCAAGGUCCCCUGAGUUUAUUUCCUUGUUUGUAGAUGACAAGCUCCGUAAAGGCUUGAAGGGUGUGAGUGAGGAGGAUGUAGAGAUCAUCCUGGACAAGGUGAUGAUGCUAUUCCGUUACUUACAAGAGAAGGAUGUUUUUGAGAAAUACUACAAGCAACACCUAGCGAAGCGGCUCUUGUCAGGAAAAACUGUAUCUGAUGAUGCUGAGAGAAGUCUGAUUGUUAAGCUGAAGACAGAAUGUGGAUAUCAAUUUACUUCCAAAUUGGAGGGUAUGUUCACAGACAUGAAGACAUCUCAGGAUACAAUGCAAGGUUUCUAUGCUAGCCAGGCUGCUGACACUGGGGAUAGCCCUACACUUGCAGUCCAAGUUCUCACAACAGGGUCUUGGCCAACCCAACCGAGUGCCGCUUGUAACCUGCCAGCUGAGAUACUGGGGGUGUGUGAGAAAUUCCGAACCUAUUAUCUCGGAACACACACUGGGAGGAGAUUAUCAUGGCAAACAAAUAUGGGGACAGCUGAUCUCAAAGCGACAUUUGGGAAGGGUCAGAAGCAUGAGUUGAAUGUUUCUACGUAUCAGAUGUGUAUCCUCAUGUUGUUCAAUAACAGUGAUAGGUUGAGCUAUAAGGAGAUUGAGCAGGCCACUGAGAUUCCAGCCUCAGAUUUGAAGAGGUGCAUGCAGUCCUUGGCAUGUGUGAAGGGGAAGAAUGUCCUUAGGAAGGAGCCCAUGAGCAAGGACAUUGGUGAAGAUGAUACCUUCUUCUUCAAUGACAAGUUCACAAGCAAGUUCUACAAGGUGAAGAUAGGUACUGUAGUUGCACAAAAGGAGUCUGAGCCAGAAAAGCAGGAGACCCGACAGAGGGUUGAAGAAGACAGGAAGCCCCAGAUUGAGGCUGCAAUUGUGAGGAUCAUGAAAUCGAGGCGUGUCUUGGAUCACAACAACAUUGUUGCUGAGGUCACAAAGCAGUUGCAAUCACGGUUCCUGCCCAAUCCUGUUGUCAUCAAGAAACGGAUUGAGUCCCUCAUUGAACGGGAGUUCUUGGAAAGGGACAAAACAGACCGGAAAUUGUAUCGAUAUCUUGCCUGAAAGCACUACUUUGCUGUUUUCUUUUCUCCUGUCAGGGCUAGGCCUUGCAGGUAGUUGUAUUCUCCAUUUGUCCUUGAUCUUUGUUGUUGAGGAAGUUACUGUAGAAGCUUCCUUGCAUCAGAAAAUGCUACUAUUUCCUUGAUAUUCUUCAAACAAGCUGCUUCCAAUCCUCUGAUGAGGGCCCGCCAUUCUCCAUCUGUGCGCCUCCUUGCCUUGCAUUGCUCACCUGCUGCUGUGAAUGCUUUACAAGAUCUAUUCAUUAGAACAUAGCCAGUUGCUGUUGCACCAGUAGUAGGCCUUAAAGGAUCCAUCUACUUAUAAGUACUUAAGUAGAACUCUGAUCUGUUUAUUUGCAGAUUUUGGCUGUUAUUUUGCUAUUUCUCUGUACUAUUUUUUUGUGUUUUCAAAUAGUCUUUGAUUGUGAAAAACUGCAACAUUUGCCUUUCUUUUUUUC
Molecule: RNA transcript, 3274 nt
Organism: Nelumbo nucifera (sacred lotus)
Lineage: Eukaryota; Viridiplantae; Streptophyta; Magnoliopsida; Proteales; Nelumbonaceae
Gene name: cullin-3A-like
Source: RefSeq, a predicted model, not a curated record